RNAcentral lists this ribosomal RNA (302 nucleotides) under uncultured bacterium. RNAcentral's name for it is "bacterial SSU rRNA". It matches the Rfam family "Bacterial small subunit ribosomal RNA", at positions 28 to 327 of the family's 1533-position model. The record is from RNAcentral.
GACGAACGCUAGCGGCAGGCUUAAUACAUGCAAGUCGAGGGGCAGCAUAAGUAGCAAUACUUGAUGGCGACCGGCAAACGGGUGCGGAACACGUACGCAACCUUCCUUUAAGCGGGGAAUAGCCCGGGGAAACCCGGAUUAAUACCCCAUAAUAUAUUGAGAAAGCAUUUUCUUUUUAUUAAAGAUUUAUCACUUAAAGAUGGGCGUGCGCCUGAUUAGGUAGUUGGCGGAGUAAUAGCCCACCAAGCCUGCGAUCAGUAACUGGUGUGAGAGCACGACCAGUCACACGGGCACUGAGACAC